RNAcentral lists this ribosomal RNA (439 nucleotides) under uncultured bacterium. Its description in RNAcentral is "partial 16S ribosomal RNA". It matches the Rfam family "Bacterial small subunit ribosomal RNA", at positions 338 to 795 of the family's 1533-position model. The record is from RNAcentral.
CCUACGGGUGGCAGCAGUGGGGGAUAUUGCACAAUGGGGGGAACCCUGAUGCAGCGACGCCGCGUGAGCGAUGGAGUACUUCGGUAUGUAAAGCUCUGUCAGCAGGGAAGAAAAUGACGGUACCUGACCAAGAAGCCCCGGCUAAAUACGUGCCAGCAGCCGCGGUAAUACGUAGGGGGCAAGCGUUAUCCGGAUUUAUUGGGUUUAAAGGGUGCGCAGGCGGAAGAUCAAGUCAGCGGUAAAAUUGAGAGGCGCAACCUCUUCGAGCCGUUGAAACUGGUUUUCUUGAGUGAGUGAGAAGUAUGCGGAAUGCGUGGUGUAGCGGUGAAAUGCAUAGAUAUCACGCAGAACUCCGAUUGCGAAGGCAGCAUACCGGCGCUCAACUGACGCUCAUGCACGAAAGUGUGGGUAUCGAACAGGAUUAGAUACCCUUGUAGUC